CUGGCGGCGCACAUAAGACAUGCAAGUCGAACGGAGUUUAGUCGAAUGUUUACAUGAGACGAAGACUUAGUGGCGGACUGGUGAGUAACACGUGAGCAACCUACCUCUAAGAGGGGAAUAACAGUGAGAAAUCAUUGCUAAUACCGCAUGAUGCAUAUUUUCCGCAUGAAAGAUAUGCCAAAGGAGAAAUCCGCUUAGAGAUGGGCUCGCGGCUGAUUAGCUAGUUGGUGGGGGUAAUGGGCCUACCAAGGCGACGAUCAGUAGCCGAGCUGAGAGGCUCAACGGCCACAUUGGGACUGAGAUACGGCCCAGACUCCUACGGGAGGCAGCAGUCGGGAAUAUUGCACAAUGGAGGAAACUCUGAUGCAGUGACGCCGCGUAUAGGAAGAAGGCCCUCUGGGUUGUAAACUAUUGUCGAAGGGGAAGAAACAAGACAGUACCCUUGGAGGAAGCUCCGGCUAACUACGUG
This 469-nucleotide ribosomal RNA is filed under the name uncultured bacterium. RNAcentral's name for it is "bacterial SSU rRNA". It matches the Rfam family "Bacterial small subunit ribosomal RNA", at positions 36 to 507 of the family's 1533-position model. The record is from RNAcentral.